Molecule: long non-coding RNA, 670 nt
Organism: Prosopis cineraria
Lineage: Eukaryota; Viridiplantae; Streptophyta; Magnoliopsida; Fabales; Fabaceae
Exons: 6
Source: RefSeq, a predicted model, not a curated record
UUAUAGGAAGGCGGAAGCAGCAGGUGUUUAUAGCCGUUACAUCCUCUAUGGUUUCGAUGAAUCCUCAAGGGUCGUCCUCACUUGCAUCCUUGCUGUUACGGGUGGUUUAAUAUUUGGUUGUGAUCAUGGUGUUUCCGGUGGAGUUACGUCGGUGGAUUCUUAUGGAAGUGACAUUAACGAGCGACAGGAACAGUAAAGGGGACAUUUGUUUGUUUGGUGGGAAUCAACAAAAGUAUGUCCGCUAAAGGACACGAAGAAUGUCAUGACCCUUAGUUCAAUCCUACAUGCUAGAAGACAGAUCAUUCCUUUGACAGGCUCUCUAGUCAAAUUGACAUUAUUACUUGGGAUAGAAAAAAGAAGAUCUUCCUGUGAUGGUCUCUCCAAUCCAAGCCAUCAAUAUUGCUUGCGAUCAAAAAAAGAAGGCGCUAGUUCUAGUCAAGACAAGGGAAAGCAUAUGAGGUUUAGGAAUUAAAUUUCCUACUACUAUAAUGCCUCAAUUACUCUUAGUUAAUAUGUAAUUGCCCUGAUAUUUUCAACUAAGAUGUUCAUAUUUUGUUGUACUUGCACCAUUAAAUAUUGAGUAUUAAAAUGUGCAUUUUGGAUCCUAGUGCGUGUGGUAUCUUUUUAGUUGAGAUAUUUGUACAAGGCCAAAAUACUUGUGCAAGUAAGG